Molecule: ribosomal RNA, 734 nt
Filed under: Desulfonatronovibrio thiodismutans
Lineage: Bacteria; Pseudomonadati; Thermodesulfobacteriota; Desulfovibrionia; Desulfovibrionales; Desulfonatronovibrionaceae
Description: bacterial SSU rRNA
Rfam family: Bacterial small subunit ribosomal RNA
Source: RNAcentral
CUUUGCGAAAGCGGAGCUAAUACUGGAUGGUCUGCACAUGUUAAUAUGUGUGUAGUAAAGGAUGGCCUCUGAGAUAAGCCAUUGCCUUGAGAUGAGUCCGCGUUCCAUUAGCUAGUUGGUGGGGUAAAGGCCUACCAAGGCAACGAUGGAUAGCUGGUCUGAGAGGAUGAUCAGCCACACUGGAACUGAGACACGGUCCAGACUCCUACGGGAGGCAGCAGUGGGGAAUAUUGGGCAAUGGGGGCAACCCUGACCCAGCAACGCCGUGUGAGGGAAGAAGGUUUUCGGAUCGUAAACCUCUGUCAGGAGGGAAGAAGUGCAUGCCAAGUAAUAUGUGGUAUGUUUGACGGUACCUCCAAAGGAAGCACCGGCUAACUCCGUGCCAGCAGCCGCGGUAAUACGGAGGGUGCGAGCGUUAUUCGGAAUUACUGGGCGUAAAGCGCGCGUAGGCGGCGCGGCAAGUCAGAUGUGAAAGCCCCGGGCUCAACCUGGGAAUUGCAUUUGAAACUGCCGUGCUUGAGUAAGGUAGAGGGUGGCGGAAUUCCCGGUGUAGGAGUGAAAUCCGUAGAUAUCGGGAGGAACACCAGUGGCGAAGGGCGGCCACCUGGGCCUUCACUGACGCUGAGGUGCGAAAGCGUGGGGUAGCAAACAGGAUUAGAUACCCUGGUAGUCCACGCUGUAAACGAUGGAUACUAGGUGCUGGGAGAGAAUUUCGGUGCCGUAGCUAACGCGUU